RNAcentral lists this non-coding RNA (29 nucleotides) under Mus musculus (house mouse). Lineage: Eukaryota; Metazoa; Chordata; Mammalia; Rodentia; Muridae. The record is from RNAcentral.
UAUCAACCACUGGUCCUCAGCAAUGACUU